This 520-nucleotide ribosomal RNA is filed under the name uncultured Glomus. RNAcentral's name for it is "SSU rRNA". It matches the Rfam family "Eukaryotic small subunit ribosomal RNA", at positions 569 to 1091 of the family's 1831-position model. Lineage: Eukaryota; Fungi; Glomeromycota; Glomeromycetes; Glomerales; Glomeraceae. The record is from RNAcentral.
AGCAGCCGCGGUAAUUCCAGCUCCAAUAGCGUAUAUUAAAGUUGUUGCAGUUAAAAAGCUCGUAGUUGAAUUUCGGGGUUAGUAGGUUGGUCAUGCCUCUGGUAUGUACUGGUCUCACUGAUUCCUCCUUCCUUAUGAACCGUAAUGCCAUUAAUUUGGUGUUGCGAGGAAUUUGGACUGUUACUUUGAAAAAAUUAGAGUGUUUAAAGCAAGCUAACGCUUGAAUACAUUAGCAUGGAAUAAUGAAAUAGGACGUUCGAUCUUAUUUUGUUGGUUUCUAGGAUUGACGUAAUGAUUAAUAGGGAUAGUUGGGGGCAUUAGUAUUCAAUUGUCAGAGGUGAGAUUCUUGGAUUUAUUGAAGACUAACUACUGCGAAAGCAUUUGCCAAGGAUGUUUUCAUUAAUCAAGAACGAAAGUUAGGGGAUCGAAGACGAUCAGAUACCGUCGUAGUCUUAACCAUAAACUAUGCCGACUAGGGAUCGGAUGAUGUUAAUUUUUAAUGACUCAUUCGGCGCCUUAA